AAGUCGUAACAAGGUCUCCGUUGGUGAACCAGCGGAGGGAUCAUUAAUGAGUUUUCUAAACUCCAAACCCUUGAGAACAUACCUAGUUGCCUCGGCGGACUUGCCCUGGGACGACCUACCCUGCAGCGAGUUACCCUGUAACGAGUUGCCCUGUAGGGACCUGCCCUGUAGCCUGCUCGUCGGCGGCCAACCUAAACUCUGUUUUAUUGUGGCACUUCUGAGGAUUAUUCUAAAUGAAUUAAAACUUUCAACAACGGAUCUCUUGGUUCUG
RNAcentral lists this unclassified non-coding RNA (271 nucleotides) under fungal sp. Its description in RNAcentral is "partial internal transcribed spacer region". The stretch from base 1 to 46 matches the Rfam family "Eukaryotic small subunit ribosomal RNA", at positions 1786 to 1831 of the family's 1831-position model. The record is from RNAcentral. Lineage: Eukaryota; Fungi.